Molecule: ribosomal RNA, 492 nt
Filed under: uncultured bacterium
Lineage: Bacteria
Description: partial 16S ribosomal RNA
Rfam family: Bacterial small subunit ribosomal RNA
Source: RNAcentral
AGUGAACGCUGGCGGUAGGCCUAACACAUGCAAGUCGAACGGCAGCACAGUAGGAGCUUGCUCUUACGGGUGGCGAGUGGCGGACGGGUGAGGAAUACUUCGGAAUCUACUUUUUCGUGGGGGAUAACGUAGGGAAACUUACGCUAAUACCGCAUACGACCUACGGGUGAAAGCAGGGGAUCUUCGGACCUUGCGCGAUUGAAUGAGCCGAUGUCGGAUUAGCUAGUUGGCGGGGUAAAGGCCCACCAAGGCGACGAUCCGUAGCUGGUCUGAGAGGAUGAUCAGCCACACUGGAACUGAGACACGGUCCAGACUCCUACGGGAGGCAGCAGUGGGGAAUAUUGGACAAUGGGCGCAAGCCUGAUCCAGCCAUACCGCGUGGGUGAAGAAGGCCUUCGGGUUGUAAAGCCCUUUUGUUGGGAAAGAAAAGCAGCAGGUUAAUACCCCGCUGUUCUGACGGUACCCAAAGAAUAAGCACCGGCUAACUUCGUG